GCAGCUUGCUGCGGGUACUCGAGUGGCGAGCGGGUGAGUAACACGUGGGUGAUCUGCCUUGCACUUCGGGAUAAGCUUGGGAAACUGGGUCUAAUACCGGAUAGGACAGCUGUUUAGUGUCAGUUGUGGAAAGUUUUUUCGGUGCAAGAUGAGCUCGCGGCCUAUCAGCUUGUUGGUGGGGUAAUGGCCUACCAAGGCGUCGACGGGUAGCCGGCCUGAGAGGGUGUACGGCCACAUUGGGACUGAGAUACGGCCCAGACUCCUACGGGAGGCAGCAGUGGGGAAUAUUGCACAAUGGGCGGAAGCCUGAUGCAGCGACGCCGCGUGGGGGAUGAAGGCCUUCGGGUUGUAAACUCCUUUCGACAGGGACGAAGCGUAAGUGACGGUACCUGUAUAAGAAGCACCGGCUAACUACGUGCCAGCAGCCGCGGUAAUACGUAGGGUGCGAGCGUUGUCCGGAAUUACUGGGCGUAAAGAGCUCGUAGGUGGUUUGUCGCGUCGUCUGUGAAAUUCCGGGGCUUAACUCCGGGCGUGCAGGCGAUACGGGCUGACUUGAGUGCUGUAGGGGAGACUGGAAUUCCUGGUGUAGCGGUGAAAUGCGCAGAUAUCAGGAGGAACACCGAUGGCGAAGGCAGGUCUCUGGGCAGUAACUGACGCUGAGGAGCGAAAGCAUGGGUAGCGAACAGGAUUAGAUACCCUGGUAGUCCAUGCCGUAAACGGUGGGCGCUAGGUGUAGGGGGCUUCCACGUCUUCUGUGCCGUAGCUAACGCAUUAAGCGCCCCGCCUGGGGAGUACGGCCGCAAGGCU
RNAcentral lists this ribosomal RNA (807 nucleotides) under uncultured Actinomycetes bacterium. RNAcentral's name for it is "bacterial SSU rRNA". It matches the Rfam family "Bacterial small subunit ribosomal RNA", at positions 75 to 895 of the family's 1533-position model. The record is from RNAcentral. Lineage: Bacteria; Bacillati; Actinomycetota; Actinomycetes.